GAUGCAUUAAAAUAUAGGUAAUGUUUCCAGAGGACUUUUUUAAAAACCAAAAUUUUAGAGUGAACUAAUGUGACCUUGCAACUCAAGUGUAGGACAGUUUUGCUGAAGUUAACUAAAGACAAUUUGGAGUGGCUUGAAAUUGCAAAUGCUUUUUAAAAAUUUGGAGCUUCUGCCCAAAGAUCUCUUUAAUCCAUUUUAUAUUUUACUCUUUCACAUAAUGUACUUUCUUUCAAUACUCUCUCUUAUUAAUUAUCUCCUCUUUCCAUGGCAGAUGGCUAGAUGAGUAUCAAGAUGACGGCAGGACAGAGCUGGAAUUGAUUGCAGAGAGUAGCCAUGGUGAAGGCAGAUGGACAGGACCAGCCACCUCCUGAAAGGGGACACUGGGAGUCGUCACUCCACUGAGCUUCAAGUGGCUAUGGGUCUGAUCAUGACCAUGUGUUUGCUUAGACUGAAGCAAACACCUGGGGAGGGUCAGUUCAGCUGGGACACAUUCUCUGCUUUUGAGAACUUCCAAAGUUGGGAGAAGCAUUGAGACAGACCAUCAGCCAAUGACUGACCAGGAUCAGCCUCUGAUGUCUGGACUGUGCACACCACUAUUUCUUUCUUCCUCCCUUCUUCUUCUUUCUUCUCCAACUUCCCCUUCCUUCCUCCUCUUUCAGAAACUUAGACACCUAUUAAGUUUACUGAAAUGUUUAGAUAGCUAUCUUUUGCAAGUGAAGAAGUAACAUUUGAUUAAUGUAAAAUACUAUUUUGCAACAUACAUUAAUUUCAAAGUGGAAGUCUUAAUUUUAGCUGAUGCCAUGUCUCUGUUAGUAUUGGUGGCAGUAUCAAUAAGAAAAAUAUCAAAAGAAAUGGAUUGAUUGGGUUAUCUUUCAUCCUCAUUGCCCUUUGCACUGGUCCUAGCGAGACUGGGUCUUCUGUGAGCUUAGAAGUUGGACCUACAGGUAGACAGUAACAGAGCACCAUGCAGGAAAUGUAUCUGGAGGCAGAUAUCUGACAUUUAUUAGUCCCUUUCCCCCAUGAAGUCUCAAAUAUGUGUCAUUGUUGUACCUCAGGCAGACGCUUCCAAUCCUUCAAAUUGGCACAAGAGAUAAAACCCCUCUGCCAUCCAGGAGAGAUCUUGGUAUGGCUUAUAAUAUCAGAGAUGCCUGUGUUCCAGUCUCAAUCCUGCAACUGUGAGGUAAUGACUAUCAUCAUCCCCAUUCUGCAGAUGAGAAAACCAAGACUUGGAAAGGCCAAGUGACUUGCCCAAACUCAUAGAAAGAGAUGAACAGGAGAUCUGGGAUUGGAACCCAGUGGUCUGGCUCCAGCCUUUGAGCAUACACAUGAUUUUCCCUACCUUAUUGUCUUCUCCACCUGUUUUAGUACCCUAUGAAAUCAUGCAGAGGGGACCAGUGAAUCUCCUCAGGUUCACUUCCUUCAUGGUUUCCGUCAUAUGCAGCUAUAACCUGAACUAUUAUAUACUUGUUUUAAACUGUCUUUAAAACAGGUAAUUUGGUGGUAGAGGAGAGCUGAGCCUCAUCUGAAACGAUGUCGAUAAUAUCCAUGAUAUCACUAAUUUAAUGUCAUAUAUUUUUUUCCUAAAGCACAUUAAAAUUAAUCUAUAUCUGAUGAACUUUUAGGUUAAUCUAUUUACAACCUAAGAUUCAUUAUAGACAUCCAAAAUUAUGCAUUUCACCAUUUGGAAAAGCACCUAGAAUACAUGUAUAUACCUAUUUCACUCUAAGCCUAGCAUAUAGUGAUCAGUAAGUGACAUUUCAAUUAAAGAGAUUAUUGUUAACAUGGUUUACCUUUUAGCACCCCUUCGUAAUUGUAUAUUUUAUAUCUGAGAAUAAAAACACAUCAAGAAUUAAGUUUCGGUGAUUUACAUUUUGCUACAGUUUGGAUCCAGAAUGUUCUCAGUGCAAAGGUUAGAAUUGGACCCCAGCCUGGUGCUAUUGGGAAGUGGUGGGAACCUCAAGAGGUGGGACCUGGUGCAAGACCUUCAGGUCACUGGAGGCUCCUGAAAGGGAUCCUGCAACCCAGCCCCUCCUCUUUCUCCUUCACUUCCAGGCCAGGAGAUAAGUGCAUCUGCUUCACCCUGCAUUCCAGCCAUGACACACUGCCCGAGCACAAAUCAACAGGGCCUGUGGAUCAUGAAAUGAAACUUCUAAAACUGUGAGCCAAACUAAUCUCCCUCCUCCCUCCCUCCCUCCCUCUCUCUCUCUCCUUCCUUCCUUCCUUCCUUCCUUCCUUCCUUCCUUCCUUCUUUUCUUUUCUUUC
Molecule: long non-coding RNA, 2262 nt
Filed under: Marmota monax (woodchuck)
Lineage: Eukaryota; Metazoa; Chordata; Mammalia; Rodentia; Sciuridae
Source: RNAcentral